This 462-nucleotide ribosomal RNA is filed under the name Lederbergia lenta. RNAcentral's name for it is "bacterial SSU rRNA". It matches the Rfam family "Bacterial small subunit ribosomal RNA", at positions 907 to 1368 of the family's 1533-position model. Lineage: Bacteria; Bacillati; Bacillota; Bacilli; Caryophanales; Bacillaceae. The record is from RNAcentral.
GAAUUGACGGGGGCCCGCACAAGCAGUGGAGCAUGUGGUUUAAUUCGAAGCAACGCGAAGAACCUUACCAGGUCUUGACAUCCUUUGACCACCCUAGAGAUAGGGCUUUCCCCUUCGGGGGACAAAGUGACAGGUGGUGCAUGGUUGUCGUCAGCUCGUGUCGUGAGAUGUUGGGUUAAGUCCCGCAACGAGCGCAACCCUUGACCUUAGUUGCCAGCAUUCAGUUGGGCACUCUAAGGUGACUGCCGGUGACAAACCGGAGGAAGGUGGGGAUGACGUCAAAUCAUCAUGCCCCUUAUGACCUGGGCUACACACGUGCUACAAUGGAUGGUACAAAGGGUUGCGAAGCCGCGAGGUGAAGCCAAUCCCAGAAAGCCAUUCUCAGUUCGGAUUGCAGGCUGCAACUCGCCUGCAUGAAGCCGGAAUUGCUAGUAAUCGCGGAUCAGCAUGCCGCGGUGAAUA